This is a long non-coding RNA of Asparagus officinalis (garden asparagus), 4309 nucleotides long. RefSeq lists it as uncharacterized. NCBI's taxonomy places the organism in Eukaryota, Viridiplantae, Streptophyta, Magnoliopsida, Asparagales, Asparagaceae. The transcript is spliced from 6 exons. The record is from RefSeq and is a predicted model, not a curated record.
AAAUCCUACCUAAACUCGAUUCCAACCGUUCCAAGGCUAUUUAGGAGGAUAAAUUAUACCACUCGAUCAUUUCUAAUCUACCCAAAAACUAAAACCCUAAUCCUAAUUUUUCUCUAAUUCUCUCUCUUUCUCUAAAACUAUGUCAACACGCUCGAGGGCUACUCCUAAAGGCCUAGGGUCUCUUCAUUGGCAGGAGAGGGCUCUUCUAGGAGUCAUCCUACUACCGUGGACGAUUGACUCUACGACAAUCGGGAUUCAAAGCUCUACGAUCGAUUAUCGAUGAAGACACUUUUGUUAGGUCAUCCCAUGGACUUCCACACUAUCACUGUCAAGGCCGGCUUUGGGCCUGCGCAGGCCUCUCUGAGCUCUCUCUUCCGGUCUUUCCCCAAUUCCAAAGGGGACGAAAAAAAUCAAUUUUUUAUCUAAAUUCUCAAAUCAAAGGCAAGAGAUCGCAAGAAAUCGCCGAUAUUUGUCCUAGGAUUCGAGGAAUUGUUGGAUCUGUACCCUGAUUUCUGUGGGAGGAGGAGGCUGCAGCUUGAGGUCCAGACAUUGAACCGCGAGGUUGGGUUUCUUGAGGUUUAUGAACAGGUUAUAUACAGGUAUAAUAUGGUGUCAACUAUCUUUUGCAGACUACUCGAGUACCUCUUCCACUUGAUUUAAGGCUUCAAAUUAGGUUGUAUUAUUCCUAAUCUUUUGACUUCUUUCAAUUUGAUUGUAAUAUUUUUGUUUUAUUAUAGAAAUACCUCCAAGAAAGUAUCAUUUUGGAUAUGAUAAACGCAAGAAAAAAAGAAAAAUUGAACAAUUUGUCCAAACUCAAAGUGGAGCGCUUGAUAAAUUCCUUGUUAGAGAAACACAAGAUUUAGUUGAAAAUUCAAUUGAAAAUAAUAACAUUAAUGAUUUGGGCUUGAAUGAGUAUGAGAAUGAAAAUGUUGAUGAUUAAAGUAAAAAUGAAAAUGAUAAUGAAAAUGAGAAUCAGAAUGAAAAUGAGAAUCGUAAUGAAAAUGAAAAUGAUAAUGAAAAUGAGAAUCAAAAUAAAAAUGAAAAUAAAAAUAAAAGUAAAAAUGAGAAUCAGAAUCAGAAUGAAAUUGAUAUUGACAAUGAAAAUGAAAAUGAGAAUGAAAAUAUUUUUUAGGCAAUGAACAACCUAGUCAGUCUAUACUCAUGAAUUUGAAUAUUUAUGAUCCAAGAACUUGAAAUAAUUUGGACACAAAAUCUAGAGAUAUAUUAAUGGAAAAUGGCCCUAUAAGAGAUCUAUUAUUGAAAAAAGGUCCUAUAGAUAAAUUAGGAAGAUGUUUUUCUUCAGCAUUUUACACUGGGCAUUUAUCAAAUGGAGAGAAAUGUGAUAGGGAAUGGUUAGUUUAUUCAAAAGAUAUCGAUAAAGUAUUUUGUUUUUAUUGUAAAUUGUUUAAAAAUGGUUUUAAGAAAAGUUUUUUAAUAAAUGAAGGAUUUAAUGAUUGGAUGCAUCUUAGUGCUAGGCUUAAAGAACAUGAAACAACUAAUGAGCACAUCAUUAACAUGAGUAUUUGGCUUGAUUUACGCAUAAGAUUAAAGAAAAAUAAAACAAUCGAUAAAAAUAUUCAAGAGCAAAUUAAUAAAGAGAAGGAGCAUUUGAAGAAAGUAUUACAAAGAAUAAUUUCUAUUGUUAAAUAUCUUGCUAAACAUAACUUGGCAUUUCGAUGAACAAAUGAGAGAAUUUAUCAAAAUAAUAAUGAAAAUUUUUUAGGCCUAAUUGAAAUGAUUGCAGAAAUAGGAUCCGGUAAUGCAAGAACAUGUUCGACAUAUUGACCAUGGUAAAAUUCAUUAUCAUUAUCUUGGUCAUAGCAUUCAAAAUGAAUUGAUAAGUAUGUUAGCUUCUAAAAUCAAAUGUGCAAUAGUUCAAAAAAUUAAAGAAGCUAAAUAUUUUUCAGUAAUACUUGAUUAUACUCUGGAUGCAAGUCACCAAGAAUAAAUAACUUUAAUAUUACGAUGUGUCGAUAUUUCUACAAGCUUAAUAAAAAUAGAAGAAUUUUUUGUAGAAUUUUUAAAAGUAAAUGAUACAUCUGGACAAGGACUUUUUGAAGAAUUGCAAAAUGUGCUAAAAACUCUUAAUCUUGAUAUUGAUAAUGUAUGAGGUCAAGGGUAUGAUAAUGGUUCUAAUAUGAAAGGGAGACACCAAGGUGUACAAAAAAAAGUACUUGAUAUAAAUCCUAGAGCAUUAUACACGCCUUGUGGUUGUCAUAGUCUUAAUUUAACACUUUGUGAUAUGGCAAAUUAUUGUGCUAAAGCAAAAGACUUUUUUGAAGUGAUACAACGUAUUUAUAUAUUAUUUUCUCACUCAAUAAAGCGAUGGUAAAUUUUGAUAAAUAAUGUAAAAGGUUUAACUGUGAAGUCAUUGUCGGCUACACGUUAGGAAAGCCAUAUUGAAAGCGUUAAAGCAAUUAGAUUCCAAACGCUUGAAAUAAAAGAAGCACUACUUCAGUUAGCAAAAACUGAUAAUGACUCCAAAAUAAGGAGUGAAGCAGAUUCUUUAGCAAUACAUGGAAUUGGAAAUUUUGUAUUUUUAUUAAGUAUGAUUAUUUGGUAUGAUAUAUUGUUUGUUGUUAACUUAAUUAGCAAAUAUUUACAAUCUAAAGACAUGCUUAUCUAUAUUGCUAUAGAUCAAGUAAAAGGAUUGAUUAGGUUUUUUUAGGAUUAUAGAGAAGUUGGACUCACACAAGCUAUGACAAUUGCUAAAGAAAUUGCUACUGAAAUGAAAAUUGAUUCUGUAUUUCAAGUAAAACGUCAAAUCCGUAGAAAAAGACAAUUUGAUGAGAUUGUUAAUGAGGAGACAACACAGUCAGUUGAAGAAUCUUUUAGAAUCAAUUAUUUUUUAUAUACUGUAGAUCAAGCUAUUGGUUCACUAAAGAAAAGGUUCGAGCAAUAUAAAGCAUAUGAAUAUAUUUUUGGAUUUUUGUUUGGUUCCGAAAAGUUAAAUUCAUUAGAUGAAAUAAUUUGAAAGCAUGUUGUGAUAAUCUUGAAAUUGUUCUAAAAUAUAAAACAUAUUCUGAUAUUGAUGGGAAAGAUUUAUUUGGAGAACUAAAAAUCUUACGAAAUAUUUUACCAAAAGAAACAAAGAUGGCUAUUGAUAUACUGAAUUUCUUAAAAAUACAAAAUUAUUUUCCAAAUGCAUGUAUUGCUUAUAGAAUAUUAUUGACUAUACCUGUUACAGUCGCAUCUGCAGAAAUUUUUUUUUAUCAAAAUUAAAAUUAUUAAAAUCUUAUCUGAGAUUGACCAUGUCACAAGAAAGACUAAAUGGACUAGCUUUGAUAUCAUUUGAAAAUGAUUUUAUAGAUAAAACUGAUGUUAAGGGCUUAAUUAGUGAUUUUGCAGCUAAAAAUGCGAGGAUAAUUUUUCGAUGAUACUUUUUUAUGCUAAAGGCUUUGAUAUCUCUUAUGAAGGUAAGCACAGAUACAAGAGGAACAUAAUAUGCAAGUAUUUCUUCUUGUGGACUAUUUACUCUAUUGGAAAUCUUUAUUAAAGUAAGAUUACAUGUAUUUAUCUGAUCAGUGACAUUUUAUUCAGGUGACCGAAGAGAUGAAGAAUGGGCAAUAGCACUUGAAAAGUAUGUUAAAGAUUAUGCAGAUGCAAAAAAUUCAGGUAAAGCUAUAUCAGGUGUUUCCUUAUUAAGAUGGAUUGACUUCCUGAAGAUGGAGGGGUCGAUUUAUCCUGAGGUGAUGCCAGAAUUCCUAUGCAAUAACCACAACACUAACGUGUGGCACAUGACUCCGGCUUUCUGUACGGGUAUUUGUAUCUCUAAUGGUGGUUUGGCUUGAGAUAUCGAUGCGAGCACAAUCUAGAUAUCGAUGCGAUGUACAAGCUUAUACUUGAGGAAUAUACUGUGGCUAACCGGGUAUCCGAGAAGACGGGCUCUCUCAAUCAUAAUACUCGAAUCAUCACAGGCAUUGUGAAUGUGAACAUGUUCUCGAAGGCGGGUGAGCACAACGAUACUUCUGACCAAGCUCAUCUCUUGGUGUCUCUCCUUCACGCUCGAAUCAACAUCAACUUUUGGGGAUUGCGACUCAACGACCUUACCCACCUCUGCACUUCCUUGUGAUUGAUCAUAUUUGACUUCUUGAUCAUGGCUUGAUAUGGGUCAGUGCCAGAUCAACUUUAAUGGCAGAAAAAUUAGUCUUACGGAUGUCGUUAUUGAAUUGGCUGAUCCACCUCCUCUUCAUGCUCAUGUUCCUGAGAUUAGGCCUCCUCUGGUUGCUCCUGAGGCUUCCAUGUGUAAAACCCAAAAAAUUUAAAAACUUGGAAAAUAAUUUUAAAUAACAAUUAAUGAGUUUUAUUA